RNAcentral lists this transfer RNA (88 nucleotides) under Candidatus Hippobium faecium. RNAcentral's name for it is "tRNA-Leu". It matches the Rfam family "tRNA". From Rfam's summary of the family: Transfer RNA (tRNA) molecules are approximately 80 nucleotides in length. Their secondary structure includes four short double-helical elements and three loops (D, anti-codon, and T loops). The record is from RNAcentral. Lineage: Bacteria; Bacillati; Armatimonadota.
GGGGUCGUGGCGGAAUGGCAGACGCGCUAGCUUGAGGGGCUAGUGAGGAGAAUCCCUCGUGUGAGUUCGACUCUCACCGGCCCCACCA